This 260-nucleotide ribosomal RNA is filed under the name uncultured bacterium. RNAcentral's name for it is "partial 16S ribosomal RNA". It matches the Rfam family "Bacterial small subunit ribosomal RNA", at positions 94 to 354 of the family's 1533-position model. The record is from RNAcentral.
AGUGGCGGACGGGUGAGUAACGCGUGGGCAACCUGCCCCAUACAGGGGGAUAACAGUUAGAAAUGACUGCUAACACCGCAUAAGCGCACAGGGCCGCAUGGUCCGGUGUGAAAAACUCCGGUGGUAUGGGAUGGGCCCGCGUCUGAUUAGCCAGUUGGCGGGGUAACGGCCCACCAAAGCGACGAUCAGUAGCCGACCUGAGAGGGUGACCGGCCACAUUGGGACUGAGACACGGCCCAAACUCCUACGGGAGGCAGCAG